GUGGGGAAUAUUGCGCAAUGGGCGAAAGCCUGACGCAGCGACGCCGCGUGGGGGAUGAAGGCCUUCGGGUUGUAAACCCCUUUCAGCAGGGACGAAGCGCAAGUGACGGUACCUGCAGAAGAAGCGCCGGCUAACUACGUGCCAGCAGCCGCGGUAAUACGUAGGGCGCAAGCGUUGUCCGGAAUUAUUGGGCGUAAAGAGCUCGUAGGCGGUCUGUUACGUCUGCUGUGAAAACCCGGGGCUUAACCCUUGGCUUGCAGUGGAUACGGGCAGACUAGAGGCAGGUAGGGGAGAAUGGAAUUCCCGGUGUAGCGGUGAAAUGCGCAGAUAUCGGGAGGAACACCGGUGGCGAAGGCGGUUCUCUGGGCCUGACCUGACGCUGAGGAGCGAAAGCGUGGGGAGCGAACAGGAUUAGAAACCCGAGUAGUCC
RNAcentral lists this ribosomal RNA (430 nucleotides) under uncultured bacterium. RNAcentral's name for it is "bacterial SSU rRNA". It matches the Rfam family "Bacterial small subunit ribosomal RNA", at positions 354 to 796 of the family's 1533-position model. The record is from RNAcentral.